This 266-nucleotide ribosomal RNA is filed under the name uncultured bacterium. RNAcentral describes it as "partial 16S ribosomal RNA". It matches the Rfam family "Bacterial small subunit ribosomal RNA", at positions 793 to 1055 of the family's 1533-position model. The record is from RNAcentral.
GUCCUAGCCGUAAACGGUGCACGUUUGCUGUAAAAGGAAUCGACCCCUUUUGUGGCGUAGCCAACGCGUUAAACGUGCCGCCUGGGAAGUACGGUCGCAAGAUUAAAACUCAAAGAAAUUGACGGGGCCUGCACAAGCGGUGGAGUAUGUGGCUCAAUUCGAUGCAACGCGAAGAACCUUACCUGGCCUUGACAUGUGGGUGGUAGAAGUGUGAAAGCACGACGACCUCGCAAGAGGAGCCUACACAGGUGCUGCAUGGCUGUCGU